Long non-coding RNA from Sinocyclocheilus grahami, 133 nucleotides. RefSeq lists it as uncharacterized. The transcript has 3 exons. The record is from RefSeq and is a predicted model, not a curated record. NCBI's taxonomy places the organism in Eukaryota, Metazoa, Chordata, Actinopteri, Cypriniformes, Cyprinidae.
UUCACCGUCAGUUACUCUUUCAGGUCAACUAACUUUAUCGAAAGGGAACUGCAUCUGUGUACUUGAACAGAGUAAGCAUUGCAUUUCAAUAAAAGCUCUACUAUGACUUUAGAGUGAUCAAAUGGUAAGCUGG